Molecule: ribosomal RNA, 359 nt
Filed under: uncultured Chroococcidiopsis sp.
Lineage: Bacteria; Bacillati; Cyanobacteriota; Cyanophyceae; Chroococcidiopsidales; Chroococcidiopsidaceae
Description: bacterial SSU rRNA
Rfam family: Bacterial small subunit ribosomal RNA
Source: RNAcentral
UACGGAGGAUGCAAGCGUUAUCCGGAAUGAUUGGGCGUAAAGCGUCCGCAGGUGGCACAUCAAGUCUGCUGUCAAAGCCCCCAGCUUAACUGGGAAGAGGCGGUGGAAACUGGUGAGCUAGAGAGCAAUAGGGGUAGAGGGAAUUCCCGGUGUAGCGGUGAAAUGCGUAGAGAUCGGGAAGAACACCAGUGGCGAAAGCGCUCUACUAGGUUGCAACUGACACUGAGGGACGAAAGCUAGGGGAGCGAAUGGGAUUAGAUACCCCAGUAGUCCUAGCCGUAAACGAUGGAUACUAGGCGUUUCUCGUAUCGACCCGAGGAGUGCCGGAGCCAACGCGUUAAGUAUCCCGCCUGGGGAGU